This is a long non-coding RNA of Micropterus salmoides (largemouth bass), 287 nucleotides long. RefSeq lists it as uncharacterized. The record is from RefSeq and is a predicted model, not a curated record. Lineage: Eukaryota; Metazoa; Chordata; Actinopteri; Centrarchiformes; Centrarchidae. The transcript is spliced from 3 exons.
CACACACACACAGGUGAAGUUGUGCCAUGGGGAGGUGACACCAGGAGUAUAUAAAGCAAAUCUUGUAGUCAUCUCUUUAGUUUUUCUUUUAUCACCUGUACAGCCGCUCUCCUUCCAUUUACAUCACAGUUUUAUUUAGAACAGCGAUGGCAGCUUUGUCCAGGAGCAGAGGAAGCCUGUUCUUCAUCUUCACUCUGGUUUGCUUUGCAUGUUCACACAGGAAGAAAUGGGAAAUUUACAAGAAAUUCAUUGAAAAGCAACAACAAACACUGGACAGUUUAAAGGCA